UAAGAAGCACAGGCAACCCAUUGCCACCCGUCCAAUAGUAGAAAAAAUAAAAGCGCCUACAUAACAAGUUGGAGAAAGCAAUAGCAAGCUGGAUAAUGGAAACCAUUGGAAGUAUGCCCCACUCAGCACUCUCAAUGCAGCAGGUCCUCAACAGAUUAAAAGUACAAUGGUCCCUGGAGAAUACAUUAACAUCCUAUGACUUUGAGAGUUUAUACCUGGCACUGAAGAUAGAACCGGUGAGUCUUGCUCUUUAUAGAUUUUUGCUGGACAAUUUGCCACAAAGCAAUGAUAGCCCACAACUAUACUGAGAGUAAGUCACAAUUCUGUGUCACAAUUUCUACUUUACAUACAGAGGAGAGUAUUACAGGCAAACAAUAGGCAUCCCCAUCUCAAUUUAAACAAAUUUAUUUGAAAAUUUUCUAGAAAUUUAAUAAUAUUUAGAAUGAAAAAUUUUAAGGUUAGAUUAUACUUUUAAAUUAGCAUAGUUUAUUAAUUAAUGUCUAUUAGAAUCAUGGAAAAUCUAUUAUUACUACUAACAAAUUAAAUAACAUUAUAUGUUAAUAAGCAUUAUAAAUAUUAAAUACAAACACUAUAUGCAGUAAUGAAAAUUUAUUCUAAAAUGUUUUUGAUUCAUAUUGGAUCCUUCUCAGCUUCUAAUGGAAC
Molecule: long non-coding RNA, 663 nt
Filed under: Androctonus crassicauda
Lineage: Eukaryota; Metazoa; Arthropoda; Arachnida; Scorpiones; Buthidae
Source: RNAcentral